RNAcentral lists this long non-coding RNA (480 nucleotides) under Olea europaea subsp. europaea. The record is from RNAcentral. Lineage: Eukaryota; Viridiplantae; Streptophyta; Magnoliopsida; Lamiales; Oleaceae.
CACAAACAUAGAAGGAAAAGCCAUUGAGUUAUUACAAAUAAAUAGCAUGGAAAAGAAAAUUUCACAUAAACGAGAAAGGAAAUGAAAAAAAUACAACGAACCUUGAUUACAACCGUUCCAGUAAUUCGGCCUCUAUAGCCGUAGAAACUCUUCUACGUAAAAUAAUAGAAAGACCUUAACAUAAUUAGCAGAAUAUAUCAAAAUAUGAAAGGUUUAAAGCGAAAUUACGAUGAUUAGAAACAGAAACAUCAAUUGUGAUAAGAUUAAAUCUGCAUACAAGCAAUCCACGCUUCAACGGCCCGUCGCCACCACACCGGCUCUGACCUCCACAUCGUUCUUCGGUCUAGCUUUCUAGGUUUUGCCGUUGAUUUCUCAACAUUUAGGUUUGGAGGUGUAUAUAUAUAUAUAUAUAUAUAUCAAAAAAUUGGGCCUCCUGAAAAGCUAGGCCUGAGACGGAGGCCUCUUGAUCCUCUCCUUAAU